UUGUAAUGAAUUCUUUCACAGAAAAUCCAAUAUUUAUUAUUUCUUAAUAAAAGGUUUCAGCAAAGAAAAGGACAGUUUUAUGUGACAGGUUUUUGGUUUUUUUUGUAAUUCACUUGUAAAACAAUACACAGAUAGGCCUAAAUGAAACAUACAAACAAUAUCAAAGCAGCUAUAGUGGUACCUCAGGUUCAGGUCUGUUCUUAACCUGAAACGGUUCUUAACCUGAGGUGUGCUUUCGCUAAUGGGGCCUCCUCCUGCUGCUGCGCUGCUGGUGUGUGAUUUCCGUUCUUAUCCUGGGUCAAAGCUCUUAACCUGGAGCAACCACUUCCUGAAUAGCAGAGUUUGUAACCCGAAGCGUCUGUAACCCGAAGCGUCUGUAACCCGUGGUACCACUGUACUCUAUUCCGAACUUAUAAAUAGAAAGCGUAAUGCUGGUGGUCAACAAAAGAGGUUUAAAGACUCUCUCAAUGCAAAUCUAAAAAAAUGUAGUAUAAAGACCGACAAUUGGGAAACACUGGCCUGCAAGCGCUCCAGUUGGAAAACAGCCUUUGCCAAAGGUGUCCCGGGCUUUGAAGACACUCGAACUCAGGACACAAGGGAGAAACGUGCUAAGAGGAAGGCACGCUCGGCAAAUCCACACCGUGAUCAACUCCUGCUCAGAAACCAAUGUUCCCACUGUGGAAGGACGUGGGGAUCCAGAAUUGGCCUCCACAGUCACUUACAGGCUCACUGUUAAGGCUUGGAAGACAAUCUGUCUCUCUUUUGAGGCUCUUUCCCUGCAGUUGGCUGGGCAUUCUUGCCUCACUCUUCUUCUCCAGUCCAAGCCAGGAUGCCUGGGGUCAUGUUGGGUAGCAAGAGGGUCAGAGUGGGGCAGGCAAGAUGUCUCUGGGGGCCUCAUGGGGCCCACAUCCCCUGAGAUGGAUCAAGGUUCCCGUGACAAAGGCAGGUUCCUCACACCCCUCGUUCUGCAGAAGAACAGGAAAAGAGCCUGCAGGGGCAGGGUCAGGACUGUGACACAUCUAGUCCACCUCCUGGUCUCAUGGUGGCUGACCAGAGGCCCCUCGAGGGAAACCUGCAAGCAGGAUCCAACCCCUCCUGCGGUCUCAAUAGCAACUGGGGCUCAGAAGCACUGUUUCCUCUGAUCAGAGGUGGACUUAGUAGUAGUAGUAGUAGUAAUAAUAAUAAUAAUAAUAAUAAUAAUAAUUUAUUAUUUAUACCCCGCCCAUCUGGCUAGGCUUCCCUAGCCACUCUGGGUGGCUUUCAACAAAGAUCAAAACUACAUUAGAACAUCAGUCAUUUAAAACUUCCCUAAACAGGGCUGCCUUCAGGUGUCUUCUAAAAGUCAGAUAGUUCUUUAUUUCCUUGACGUUUGCUAGGAGGGCGUUCCACAGGGCAGGCGCCACUACUGAGAAGGCCCUCUGCCUGGUUCCCUGUAACCUCACUUCUUGCAGUGGGGGAACCGCCAGAAGGCCCUCAGAGCUGGACCUCCAUGUCCAGGCUGAACGAUGGGGGUGGAGAUGCUCCUUCAGGUAUACUGGGCCUUUGGGGCUGUUUAGGGCUUUCAAGGUCAGCACCAACACUUUGAAUUGUGCUUGGAAACAUCCUGGGAGCCAAUGUAGGUCUUUCAAGGUGUUAUGUGGUCUCGGCGGCCACUCCCAGUCACCAGUCUGGCUGCCACAUUCUAGAUUAGUUGUAGUUUCCGGGUCACCUUCAAAGGGAGCCCCACAUAGAGCGCAUUGCAGUAGUCCAAGCGGGAGAUAACCAGAGCAUGCACCACUCUGAUAAGACAGUUUGCAGGCAGGGAGGGUCUCAUCCUGAGUACCAGAUGGAGCCGGGAGACGGCUGCCCUGGAUAGGGGAGAGCAACUGGUGUGGUUGCUCUGGGAGCCACUCUGGGUGUGUGGUGUCGUUUCUGGUGUGGAGAAGUUCAGCUGAGAGUCACGUCACCACAGAACAUUUCCUCUUUUUCAGAGGUCUGUUUUGAUGAGGCAGGAGAAUCUAUAUUCUUCUUUUGCUGUUCUGGCAGGAAAUGGAGGCUUCACUCUAUCCACGCACAUGAAGUCACCCAAACUGAAGUCACCCAGGGGGAGAAAAGCCCUGAUCUCCCCCCACCAGCCCCCUAGUCCAGCUGCCAUCACCACCACCACCAUCAUUUGACUUGUAUGCUGCCUUUCCACAGUUUAAACAACGCUCAAGGCGGCUUACAGUCUGAAAAGAUUUACAUAUUUACGAACAUAGCAAAGUACAGUGGUACCUCUGGUUGCAAACAGGAUCUGUUCCGGAGGCCCGUUCGCAACAUGAAAAGAGCGCAACCCACAGCAGCGUGUCUGCACAUGCACGGGUUGUGAUUUGCUGCUUCUGCGCAUGCACGUGACGUCAUUUUGUGCGUCUGCGCAUUUGUGAGCGGUGAAACCCGGAAGUAACCCUUUCCGGUACUUCCGAGUCGCCAUGGGACGUACCCUGAAAGAACGUAACAUGAAGCAAACGUAACAUGAGGCAUGACUGUAGUCAUAAAAAUAAAGAAAACACAUCAAAGACUACAUAACCAAACUGAACAAUUUCCACAUAAAAAUAAAGAUACAAAAAUUAAUAUCAAGAAAAGCAACCCCCCCUGACAAAACUUCCCCCCAAAUACCCCUUGCUGGGCAGCAGCAGCAGGCCCCCCCCAGGUGGAGAGAGUCCAGCUGUCCUCUUCACAUGCAAAAAAGGGGCUGCAGGUGCACACCUGAGAAAGGUGAGGGACCUGGGCAACAGGCUCUGGCGUCCCCUUGGUCAAAAAGAGCCAGGGGUCACCCUUUCCGUGGGAAUGUUGUGGAUAGUUUUGUUGUUGUUUAGUCAUUUAGUCGUGUCCGCCUCUUUGUGCCCCCCUGGACCAGAGCAUGCCAGGCACUCCUGUCUUCCACUGCCUCCCGCAGUUUAGUCAGACUCAUGCUGGUAGCUUCGAGAACACUGUCCCACCAUCUCGUCCUCUGUCGUCCCCUUCUCCUUGUGCCCUCCAUCUUUCCCAACAUCAGGGUCUUUUCCAGGAGUCUUCUCUUCUCAUGAGGUGGCCAAAGUCUUGGAGCCUCAGCUUCAGGAUCUGUCCUUCCAGUGAGCACUCAGGGCUGAUUUCCUUCAGAAUGGAGAGGUUUGAUCUUCUUGCAGUCCAUGGGACUCUCAAGAGUCUCCUCCAGCACCAGAAUUCAAAAGCAUCCAUUCUUCGGCGAUCAGCCUUCUUGAUGGUCCAGCUCUCACUUCCAUACAUCACGACUGGGAAAACCAGAGCUUUGACUAUACGGACCUUUGUCGGCAAGGUGAUGUCUCUGCUUUUGAAGGUGCUGUCCAGGUUUGUCCCUGCCAUCUGGGGACGGUCUUUGAGGACACUCCUGCAGCAGGGCGGUCCGCGGAUUCCCCCAAAGGGAAAUGCAGGCGAUUCUCCCCCGUUGGCCUUUUGGGCUCCCGAAAACAGGCUUCGGGUUGUCCGGGCUGCCUGCCUGGCUCCUUGCCCGCCCCGGCGCAUCUCUCCGCCCGUCUCUUGGCUUUGAGCCUCAGGCGCGGUCAAAGGGGGCUCCGUUGGGCAGACCCCCCCUGCACGCGCCCCCAGCCCCACUCUAGCCGUGGGGCUUCACGUGCACAGCGCCCGUCGGGACCGAGCGGAGCCCGCGAGCGAAGCAGCCCCGAAGUCUCCCGAGGAGCCCGGCAGCUGCCCGUGCGCGCGCUCCUCUGCACGGCUUCUCG
Podarcis lilfordi (Lilford's wall lizard) is the source of this 3716-nucleotide non-coding RNA. The record is from the annotation of a GenBank genome assembly. NCBI's taxonomy places the organism in Eukaryota, Metazoa, Chordata, Lepidosauria, Squamata, Lacertidae.